This 399-nucleotide ribosomal RNA is filed under the name Triticum aestivum (bread wheat). RNAcentral's name for it is "partial small subunit ribosomal RNA". Lineage: Eukaryota; Viridiplantae; Streptophyta; Magnoliopsida; Poales; Poaceae. The record is from RNAcentral.
AUGGUUUGCUUGGGAAUAGCAUUUGGUUGGGUCGUAAUCGUAUGUGUGGUUGGGGUGUCGACGGUCCACCGACGGACGGACGGACGGACGCAAAGGAAAAAGGCCGACCGCAACGAUUUAGCCGCUACCUGCCUGCAACGAACGACCAAGCAUCAACCACGUGACGUGAGGCGCUGGGCAACUCUCUUCUUGCUUUGUUAUGCGAAAAACUGCACGUUUAGAUACUCCAAAUGGGCGGGACUACCUUGUCCCGGAAAAGAUGGCUCGUUCCAGCUACGGAUGGUGUUUCCGUUUUGUUUCUGGUGUUCGUUGGGAGAUAUGAUUCGUUUUGCCAAAAAUAAAAGAGGGAAAAAACUCAAUUUUCUCAGUUCCGUUUGGUCUGCCAAAAGAGAAAAUUGA